AGAGUUUGAUCAUGGCUCAGGAUUAACGCUGGCGGCAUGCCUAAUACAUGCAAGUCGAACGAGGGUAGCAAUACCCUAGUGGCGAACGGGUGAGUAACACGUGGGAAAUCUGCCUUUAAGUCGAGGAUAACUGUUGGAAACGACAGCUAAAACUGGAUAGGUUAUUUGGGGGCAUCCUUAAAUAAUUAAAAGUCCUUUACGGGAAUGCUUAAAGAUGAUCCUGCGUCGCAUUAGCUAGUUGGUGAGGUAGCGGCUCACCAAGGCGACGAUGCGUAGCUGUGCUGAGAGGCAAAACAGCCACACUGGGACUGAGACACGGCCCAGACUCCUACGGGAGGCAGCAGUAGGGAAUUUUCGGCAAUGGGCGAAAGCCUGACCGAGCAAUGCCGCGUGAAUGAAGAAGGUCUUCGGAUUGUAAAAUUCUGUUAUUUGUGGAAGAAGGGUAUUUGGAGGAAAUGCCAAGUAUUUGACGGUACCAAAUGAGAAAGCCCCGGCUAACUAUGUGCCAGCAGCCGCGGUAAUACAUAGGGGGCGAGCGUUAUCCGGAAUUAUUGGGCGUAAAGCGUGCGUAGGUGGUCAGUUAAGUCUGACGUGAAAUCCCUUGGCUUAACCAGGGGGGGUCGUUGGAAACUGGCUGACUUGAAUCCAGAAGGGGUAAGUGGAAUUCCAUGUGUAGCGGUAAAAUGCAUAGAGAUAUGGAGGAACACCAGUGGCGAAGGCGGCUUACUGGUCUGGAAUUGACACUGAGGCACGAAAGCGUGGGUAGCAAACAGGAUUAGAUACCCUGGUAGUCCACGCCGUAAACGAUGAGCACUAAGUGUCGGACGAAAGUUCGGUGCUGUAGUUAACGCAUUAAGUGCUCCGCCUGGGGAGUACGGUCGCAAGACUGAAACUCAAAGGAAUUGACGGGGACUCGCACAAGCGGUGGAGCAUGUGGUUUAAUUCGACGCAACGCGAAAAACCUUAC
Molecule: ribosomal RNA, 967 nt
Filed under: uncultured bacterium
Lineage: Bacteria
Description: bacterial SSU rRNA
Rfam family: Bacterial small subunit ribosomal RNA
Source: RNAcentral